UGUAUUUAGUGCAAUGAUCGUGGUUAUAAUAUAACUUCUUGCCUCAAACUCUAUAUUCUGCGUUCCAUCACACUAGCCGAAAUCAUGCAAUACUAUACUGUAAGCCGGCCAGCAACAGUGGCCGCGUCCUAGUUACUGGCCCGCCCAGCUGCAGCAUCACAGGUGAGCAUGGCGGAGUGAUGUCAUGGCCUAGCGACCGGAUAUUAUGCCAGAUGCCGGGAUGCCCGGUACGGACAUGCAGGAAGCCACUGGAACCAAACGGCUUGCGUUCCAGCCGUGGUAUCCUGACCAGGCAUGGAAUCGCAAGUACUGCUAAGUGGUCUGUUUUCCUUUGCAGGGUCUAUGUCUUCUGCCUGUGUGAUCCAGUCCAGGUAACCCUUCAAGUCUUCUUCAAGUUGUUGCUUCUCCCUCAGUUUCUGGAAGUCGCCCCGAGCCUUGGCCUUCUCCCUCUCCUUUGAGAACUCCCUGUAUAUACAGGUAAGAAGGAUCAUUCUAUGGCAGAAGUAGAAAACUUUGCAUCUUCUUACCCACUCAACACUCCGAGAACCAGGUUCAGUACAAAAAACGAUCCAAAGAUGACAAGACUGACAAAGUAAACACACGGCA
Hyla sarda is the source of this 606-nucleotide long non-coding RNA. RefSeq lists it as uncharacterized. Lineage: Eukaryota; Metazoa; Chordata; Amphibia; Anura; Hylidae. The record is from RefSeq and is a predicted model, not a curated record. The transcript is spliced from 3 exons.